Humulus lupulus (European hop) is the source of this 918-nucleotide long non-coding RNA. RefSeq lists it as uncharacterized. The record is from RefSeq and is a predicted model, not a curated record. The transcript has 3 exons. NCBI's taxonomy places the organism in Eukaryota, Viridiplantae, Streptophyta, Magnoliopsida, Rosales, Cannabaceae.
UGAAAAUAUUCCAUGCAUGGAUUCUCUUCUUUCCAUAAUAUGCAGUAUGGACUUGCUUGCUGCCUAAGCAAUCAGACAAAGCCAACAUCUUGCCAAUUGGGUCAUGUCCUUUACAUAUAAGUUAAGCUAUCAUGAAUCUUCCUCAUACAUUACGUACAACAAACAGAGCUUUUAGAUUUAAGGGUUACAGAAUUGUUGUAUUAUUUCAAAGGAGGGCAAGUUGAGGCAAGUUGAUUAUGGAGAACAAAACACAGCAAGUUAGGGCUCUUGUGAUAAAUAUCAUGUAUUCCUUUUCCUUUGCUUGAGAAGUGACUCGUGUAGACUACUGUGGCAAUUUGGAUGAUAUAAGCUAUGUUGUCAUAUUGAUUGUAUUUGCUUCAGAAGUGAAGCUUUAAUAAAAUCUAUGAAGAAAACCUAAGAACAUGCAGAUAUGUUGACAUUGAUACAAAUGCCAAUGCAAUUAUGCUUGUUGGGAAGGGAAUGAAUCGUAAAGAUUAAUAGCUUUGACCAUUCCACCAGCAACCAAUUCAACAGCCACUCUUAACUGAUCUAGAUUUUGGCAUCUAAGGUCAAAAGAUAUUGCAACCGAAGCCAAAGAGUUCUAACAGUGACAAGGAACCUGGAUUUGAAAGUGCGAAAGCUGGAAAACCACUGAAAUAUGUGGCUGCAUAUGAUAUGAUGGUAUGUUUCUAUGAAAACAUGAGUUCAUACUUCAACAUAUAAAAAAAUUGUUAUGUUUUCCCUACCUUAAAAAGCAUGGUCAUUUCAUGUUGUAUUUUGUAUUGAACAGUAGGUAUGAGUAGAUUCUAGUAUUACGUUUACUCUAUUCUUGUACAAUUAUGGAAUGUUACUUUUAUCAUUUGUUAAAAUGCAAGGAUAAAUGGUAACUUGAAAUACAUACUUUUCAAGCUUGGCUCA